RNAcentral lists this unclassified non-coding RNA (239 nucleotides) under Bambusicolaceae sp. RNAcentral's name for it is "partial contains 5.8S ribosomal RNA, internal transcribed spacer 2, and large subunit ribosomal RNA". The record is from RNAcentral. Lineage: Eukaryota; Fungi; Ascomycota; Dothideomycetes; Pleosporales; Bambusicolaceae.
CGCACAUUGCGCCCCUUGGUAUUCCAUGGGGCAUGCCUGUUCGAGCGUCAUUUACCCCCUCAAGCACUGCUUGGUGUUGGGCGUCUGUCCGCGAGGACUCGCCCCAAAAGCAUUGGCAGCGGUCCUGUCAGCCCCCUCGCGCAGCAGUUUGCGCUCGACGGGUGGCUCGGAGGGCCGCGUCCACGAAGCUCCGUCACCUUUUUGACCUCGGAUCAGGUAGGGAUACCCGCUGAACUUAA